RNAcentral lists this ribosomal RNA (630 nucleotides) under uncultured bacterium. RNAcentral's name for it is "bacterial SSU rRNA". It matches the Rfam family "Bacterial small subunit ribosomal RNA", at positions 57 to 731 of the family's 1533-position model. The record is from RNAcentral.
GCAAGUCGAGCGGGCGUAGCAAUACGUCAGCGGCAGACGGGUGAGUAACGCGUGGGAACGUACCUUUUGGUUCGGAACAACACAGGGAAACUUGUGCUAAUACCGGAUAAGCCCUUACGGGGAAAGAUUUAUCGCCGAAAGAUCGGCCCGCGUCUGAUUAGCUAGUUGGUAGGGUAAUGGCCUACCAAGGCGACGAUCAGUAGCUGGUCUGAGAGGAUGAUCAGCCACAUUGGGACUGAGACACGGCCCAAACUCCUACGGGAGGCAGCAGUGGGGAAUAUUGGACAAUGGGGGCAACCCUGAUCCAGCCAUGCCGCGUGAGUGAUGAAGGCCCUAGGGUUGUAAAGCUCUUUUGUGCGGGAAGAUAAUGACGGUACCGCAAGAAUAAGCCCCGGCUAACUUCGUGCCAGCAGCCGCGGUAAUACGAAGGGGGCUAGCGUUGCUCGGAAUCACUGGGCGUAAAGGGUGCGUAGGCGGGUUUUUAAGUCAGGGGUGAAAUCCUGGAGCUCAACUCCAGAACUGCCUUUGAUACUGAAGAUCUUGAGUCCGGGAGAGGUGAGUGGAACUGCGAGUGUAGAGGUGAAAUUCGUAGAUAUUCGCAAGAACACCAGUGGCGAAGGCGGCUCACUG